UACGGAGGGUGCAAGCGUUAAUCGGAAUUACUGGGCGUAAAGGGUGCGUAGAUGGUUUAAUAAGUUAAGUGUGAAAGACCAGGGCUUAACCUUGGGGAGUCAGUUAAGACUGUUAAACUAGAGUAUGGGAGAGGGUAGUGGAAUUUCCGGUGUAGCGGUGAAAUGCGUAGAGAUCGGAAGGAACACCAGUGGCGAAGGCGGCUACCUGGGCAAUUGCUGACGCUCAGGCACGAAAGCGUGGGGAGCAAAAGGG
RNAcentral lists this ribosomal RNA (253 nucleotides) under uncultured bacterium. RNAcentral describes it as "partial 16S ribosomal RNA". It matches the Rfam family "Bacterial small subunit ribosomal RNA", at positions 524 to 776 of the family's 1533-position model. The record is from RNAcentral.